GUUCUUGUAGCGCAAUGAAUAGCGCGUUGGACUUCUACUCCAAAUGUUGUGGGUUCGAAUUCCUACCUGGGAUG
Molecule: non-coding RNA, 74 nt
Organism: Trichonephila clavipes
Lineage: Eukaryota; Metazoa; Arthropoda; Arachnida; Araneae; Nephilidae
Source: the annotation of a GenBank genome assembly